AUCAUUACAGAGUUACUACUCCAACCCAUUGUGAACCUUACCUAUGUUCUGUUGCCUCGGCGGCGUCGGUCAGCGCCCCUCUGAGAAGAGGACGAUGCCCCUCCCGCCGGCAGCACCAAACUCUUGAAUUUUACAGCGGAUUACAGUUCUGAUUUGAAAACAAAAAACAAGUUAAAACUUUCAACAACGGAUCUCUUGGUUCUGGCAUCGAUGAAGAACGCAGCGAAAUGCGAUAAGUAAUGUGAAUUGCAGAAUUCAGUGAAUCAUCGAAUCUUUGAACGCACAUUGCGCCCGGCAGUAAUCUGCCGGGCAUGCCUGUCCGAGCGUCAUUUCAACCCUCGAACCUCCGUUUCCUCAGGGAAGCCCAGGGUCGGUGUUGGGGCGCUACGGCGAGUCCUCGCGACCCCCGUAGGCCCUGAAAUACAGUGGCGGUCCCGCCGCGGUUGCCUUCUGCGUAGUAAGUCUCUUUUGCAAGCUCGCAUUGGGUCCCGGCGGAGGCCUGCCGUCAAACCACCUAACAACUCCAGAUGGUUGACC
Molecule: ribosomal RNA, 537 nt
Filed under: Scedosporium apiospermum
Lineage: Eukaryota; Fungi; Ascomycota; Sordariomycetes; Microascales; Microascaceae
Description: eukaryotic LSU rRNA
Rfam family: 5.8S ribosomal RNA (bases 176-329)
Source: RNAcentral